Molecule: non-coding RNA, 72 nt
Organism: Salmo salar (Atlantic salmon)
Lineage: Eukaryota; Metazoa; Chordata; Actinopteri; Salmoniformes; Salmonidae
Source: Rfam
UCCCAUGUGGCUCAGUUGGAAGAGCAUGGUGUUUUCAACGCCAAGGUUGUGGGUUAGAUUCCCACAGGGGAC